GGACUGAUUUUCUGGUAAUCCAAACAGAAUCUUGAUUUGGGCCUGAACCCCAAAAUGAGUUCAUGAGCGAGCAAAUGGGCCUUCGUGGCAUUUUUGUGCCCAUAUUUUCCACUUUGGAACAACUGACUCAGAACAUGUGGACACCUCAAAAAGCUUAUCUUCCAUUCCACACCAACAUAUAUAAACCUCAAUUUGAAAAUCAAAGAUAAUCAGACAGACGGAGAUAGAGAGCAACAGCCAUGGAAGGCUUGAAGCUCGGACACACUCUGCAGAAUAGCCAUGGCUUGAACCUUCUUGUCCAAAUUCCAAAUUCAAGCUUAGUUUCCAGACCAUCUUUCCCAAUUCAACCCAAAUGCAACCUGGCUCUUUCCACAGGUUGCCGGGUUUAUGCUGGCUCUAUAAUCAGAAAACUAGCCCUCAUUUCUCCCAGUGGUUUGCCCUGUGGACAUUCCAAUCUGAAGCAAACAAGGGAAGUACGAUUUACCACAAGAAGCACAUCAGCAUCAAUACAGCCUAUGACUGAGGAACUGGUAGAGGACAAGUCCAAGGAUCUCCCAACAAGUGGUGAUUCUAUACGGCACCGAUUUCUCGAUUUCUAUGCUUCUCGUGGGCACAAGGUUCUUCCAAGUUCUUCUCUUGUGCCAGAUGAUCCCACAGUUCUACUGACAAUUGCAGGAAUGCUUCAAUUCAAGCCUAUAUUCCUUGGAAAGGUUCCCAGACAAGUACCUCGUGCUACAACUGCUCAAAGGUGCAUACGUACCAAUGAUGUGGAGAACGUAGGUAAAACAUCUCGACACCAUACUUUCUUUGAGAUGCUUGGGAACUUCAGCUUUGGAGAUUACUUCAAGAAGGAAGCAAUUAAAUGGGCAUGGGAGCUUUCAACAAUAGAGUAUGGAUUGCCAGCUGACAGAUUAUGGAUUAGUGUUUAUGAAGAUGAUGAUGAAGCUUUAGCAAUAUGGACCAAAGAGGUGGGUGUUCCUGUGGAGCGCAUAAAGAGGAUGGGUGCUGAGGACAACUUCUGGACCAGUGGAGUGACUGGUCCCUGUGGUCCAUGCUCUGAGAUUUAUUACGAUUUCCAUCCUGAGCGGGGAUAUUCGGAUGUUGAUCUAGGUGAUGACACUAGGUUUAUAGAGUUUUACAACCUGGUUUUCAUGCAAUACAACAAAAAAGAUGAUGGAUCACUGGAACCCCUCAAACAGAUGAAUAUAGAUACUGGGCUUGGCCUAGAGCGUAUGGCUCGCAUCCUUCAGAAGGUUCCAAACAAUUACGAGACUGACUUAAUUUAUCCUAUCAUAGAGAAAGCCUCAGAAUUGGCAAAUGUCUCGUAUGCUCUUGCUGAUGAUCAUGCAAAAAUGAACCUUAAGGUUAUUGGAGAUCAUUUGCGUGCAAUUGUUUAUCUCAUAUCAGAUGGUGUUGUUCCAUCAAAUAUUGGAAGAGGUUAUGUGGCUCGGCGGCUUAUCAGAAGAGCUGUUCGAACUGGAAGGUUACUUGGUAUAAAGGGAGAUGGUAGGGGGAACCCUGAAGGGGCAUUUUUACCAACCAUUGCAGAAAAAGUAAUAGAGUUAAGUAGCCAAAUAGAUCCCGAUGUAAAGAGUAGAGCACCUCGCAUUCUUGAGGAGUUGAAAAGGGAGGAGUUGCGUUUUGUACAGACACUAGAGAGAGGAGAAAAGUUGCUUGAUGAAAUGCUGGCUAAUGCAUUAUUAAAUUCUAAUGAAAAUGGAAACGGGCCUAUUUUGUCAGGAAAAGAUGUAUUUCUUUUGUAUGACACUUAUGGGUUUCCAGUGGAGAUAACAACAGAAGCUGCUGAAGAACGUGGGGUUGGUAUAGAUAUGAAUGGUUUUGAAAUUGAAAUGGAGAACCAAAGGCGGCAAUCUCAGGCUGCGCAUAAUGCUGUUAAACUGGCAGUUGGAAAUAGUGCAGAUCUUACUGAAAAUAUUUCUGACACUGAAUUUCUAGGAUAUGAAACCCUCUCUACCAAAGCAGUAAUUGAAGGCCUCUUGGUGAAUGGGAACCCAGUGAUCCAAGUUUCCGAAGGAAGUGAUGUAGAAAUUUUUCUGAAUAGGACACCAUUUUAUGCUGAAUCAGGUGGUCAAAUUGGAGAUCACGGUUUCUUAUAUGUAAAUGAAGAUAGAAACCAAAAAAAUGCUGUUGUUGAGAUAAAAGAUGUCCAGAAAUCUCUGGGUAACAUAUUUGUUCAUAAGGGCACUAUCAAGGAAGGAGUUGUAGAGGUUGGCAAAGAAGUAGAAGCUGCAGUAGAUGCAAACCUGAGGCAACGGGCUAAGAUUCAUCAUACAGCUACUCAUUUGCUACAAGCUGCACUUAAAAAAGUUAUAGGUGAUGAAACAUCACAAGCUGGUUCACUGGUGGCUUUCGAUCGUCUCAGGUUUGACUUUAACUUCCACCGACCACUUCAGGAGAAGGAGCUUGUGGAAAUUGAAGAAUUGAUCAAUGGAUGGAUUGGGGAUGCAACACUGCUCCAGACUAAAGUGAUGCCUCUAGCUGAUGCAAAAAGAGCUGGAGCUAUUGCAAUGUUUGGAGAAAAAUAUGGUGAACAGGUACGUGUUGUAGAGGUUCCAGGUGUAUCCAUGGAGCUAUGUGGUGGGACCCAUGUCAGCAAUACUUGUGAAAUACGUGGCUUCAAAAUAAUCUCAGAACAGGGUAUUGCAUCUGGGAUCAGGCGUAUUGAAGCUGUUGCUGGGGAUGCUUUCAUCGAAUAUGUCAAUGCUAGAGAUAAUCACAUGAGACAACUAUGCUCCACUCUGAAAGUGAAAGCUGAAGAAGUGACUACUAGGGUAGAAGCUCUCUUGGAGGAGUUACGGAUGACAAGAAAUGAAGUUUCUGCUGUUCGUGCAAAAGCAGCAGUAUACAAAGCAUCAGUUAUGGCAGGCAAUGCAUUCCCAGUGGGGACUUCAAAAAAAAUCAGGGUACUAGUUGAGAGUAUGGAUGAUAUUGAUGCGGAUUCACUAAAGAGUGCAGCUGAAUACCUCAUUGAUACGCUACAAGAUCCUGCAGCUGUCAUUUUGGGCUCAUGUCCUAGUGAAGAGAAGGUAAGUUUGGUUGCAGCAUUCACCCCAGGGGUUGUUGAUCUAGGAAUUCAAGCAGGGAAGUUUAUAGGGCCCAUAGCUAAGUUGUGUGGUGGAGGAGGAGGUGGCAGACCUAAUUUUGCUCAGGCAGGUGGAAGGAAGCCUGAGAAUUUGUCAGGUGCUCUAGAAAAAGCUCGAGAAGAGCUUGUUGCCAUUCUAUCUGAAAAAGCAAGCUGAAAUCAGUUAUAGUCUAUUGGCAUGAAAUUUCUACUUGGAGUCAAGUACCCAAGACCAUACUUGCUUCAGAAAGAUUCAGAGAAUUCUACUGCAGUAGCUGCAAAGAGAAGCCCUGGAGUUGAGAUAUGUUCUUCAAACUAUUUGUUGUCAAUUCUAGGAGGUGAUGUCUUACCAGUGCUGGAUGAUAUGGUGGUUGUAACCGAGGAUCUUGCUGAUAUAAUUUAGGGGGUUGUUACAACAUUAUCUAGCUGGACAAAUGGCUUGAAUUCUUCUCUUUCGAAUGUGAAAACACCCUGUUCAGCUUUACUAUUUUUCGAUGUUGGAUUGUUAACUUCUUCAGGAUGAGUCAUUUCAGGGACAAAAAUUUAGCUGGUGGGCGCCAGCUCUAUUGUCUUUGGCAGGUAUAUGUUGAUUGGGUAUACUCUCAUCGACAGAGAGUUUUCCUUAUUGGCCAUGUUUGAUGCUGCAAUGGUUGUUGCCAUAUUUCAGAUUUUCCCAAGGUUUCUUCUGUAUUCCUGACAACCAAACAAAGGAUUACAGAUCAGCUCUAACUUCCAUUGUGCUCAGCCAACAAAAAGCGCAAGCCAUGGGGUCAGGGACUAUGGGCAGCUGGAUUCAAUAUGGUUGAAAUUCAUGAUGUUUGUGGGCGGUGGCAUACACCUAGGACAAAGCCAUAAUGCAGAAUGCUACAAUGAUAAAUCGAUGGCUACCCAAAUUUGACCUGAAAAUUGGUGGUGGAUCCUCAAGAAACCUAUGCUGUUGGCAUGCAAUUAAUCCGUGGUCCUCGGGCGCGGACCAUCGAUCAUUCAAAGACAGUCCUACCCCUACAGGAAUGACGAUAUGAUCUCAAUGCAUGGUUAUUUUCGGGUUUUCGUAGUCCCUAACAGUGAGACUAGGCAUGGGGCAAGAAACAGAAGGUUCUCUUAUUCCAUAGCCAACUCUAGCUGUUGUGUUUUGGCAUUAUUCUUACUUGAUGAGUCGGAUUUGGAAGACUUUGUUCUUA
Vitis vinifera (wine grape) is the source of this 4263-nucleotide RNA transcript. It is a transcript of the gene named alanine--tRNA ligase, chloroplastic/mitochondrial, with no coding region annotated. The record is from RefSeq and is a predicted model, not a curated record. Lineage: Eukaryota; Viridiplantae; Streptophyta; Magnoliopsida; Vitales; Vitaceae. The transcript has 14 exons.